This 266-nucleotide ribosomal RNA is filed under the name Pseudomonas syringae. Its description in RNAcentral is "partial 23S ribosomal RNA". It matches the Rfam family "Bacterial large subunit ribosomal RNA", at positions 1404 to 1669 of the family's 2925-position model. Lineage: Bacteria; Pseudomonadati; Pseudomonadota; Gammaproteobacteria; Pseudomonadales; Pseudomonadaceae. The record is from RNAcentral.
GAAAAGCGUAGUCGAUGGAAAACAGGUUAAUAUUCCUGUACUUCUGGUUAUUGCGAUGGAGGGACGGAGAAGGCUAGGCCAGCCUGGCGUUGGUAGUCCAGGUUUAAGGUGGUAGGCUGAGAUCUUAGGUAAAUCCGGGAUCUUAAGGCCGAGAGCUGAUGACGAGUGUUCUUUUAGAACACGAAGUGGUUGAUGCCAUGCUUCCAAGAAAAGCUUCUAAGCUUCAGGUAACCAGGAACCGUACCCCAAACCGACACAGGUGGUUG